Molecule: transfer RNA, 75 nt
Filed under: sediment metagenome
Description: tRNA-Arg
Rfam family: tRNA
About the family: Transfer RNA (tRNA) molecules are approximately 80 nucleotides in length. Their secondary structure includes four short double-helical elements and three loops (D, anti-codon, and T loops). Further hydrogen bonds mediate the characteristic L-shaped molecular structure. tRNAs have two regions of fundamental functional importance: the anti-codon, which is responsible for specific mRNA codon recognition, and the 3' end, to which the tRNAs corresponding amino acid is attached (by aminoacyl-tRNA synthetases). tRNAs cope with the degeneracy of the genetic code in two manners: having more than one tRNA (with a specific anti-codon) for a particular amino acid; and 'wobble' base-pairing, i.e. permitting non-standard base-pairing at the 3rd anti-codon position.
Source: RNAcentral
CCCCCGAUAGCUCAAUGGAUAGAGCAGGGGUGUUCUAAGCCCUUGAUGUGGGUUCGAUUCCUGCUCGGGGGACCA